This 410-nucleotide ribosomal RNA is filed under the name uncultured microorganism. RNAcentral describes it as "bacterial SSU rRNA". It matches the Rfam family "Bacterial small subunit ribosomal RNA", at positions 9 to 417 of the family's 1533-position model. The record is from RNAcentral.
GAGUGAUCUUGGCUCAGAUUGAACGCUGGCGGCAUGCCUUACACAUGCAAGUCGAACGGCAGCAUGAUCUAGCUUGCUAGAUUGAUGGCGAGUGGCGAACGGGUGAGUAAUACAUCGGAGCGUGCCCUGUAGUGGGGGAUAACUAGUCGAAAGAUUAGCUAAUACCGCAUACGACCUGAGGGUGAAAGUGGGGGACCGCAAGGCCUCAUGCUAUAGGAGCGGCCAAUGUCUGAUUAGCUAGUUGGUGGGGUAAAGGCCCACCAAGGCGACGAUCAGUAGCUGGUCUGAGAGGACGAUCAGCCACACUGGGACUGAGACACGGCCCAGACUCCUACGGGAGGCAGCAGUGGGGAAUUUUGGACAAUGGGCGAAAGCCUGAUCCAGCAAUGCCGCGUGUGUGAAGAAGGCCU